GUUUACUUUUUACUACCAAGUACCAACUGAAACGAAAGGAGAUAUUUGUGGGUUGCGAAAAAUCAAAGCAUGGAAGUGGUAGUGGAAGUGGAAGGUGAAGAUGGUUCCAAGCUCUCAAUCGGAAAUGACGAGGAAGCAGUGUUGGGACGAGGGUGUGGAUUCAACACCCACGACCGCACGGUUUCUCGUCGUCACGUGUCCUUUCGACUCGACCAUUCAGACUCGGAGGGUGCUAAGGCUAGGGUUUCGUUCCAAGUGAUGGGGAAGAACCCGUUUUGGGUGUACGAUGGAGAAGCGCUUCGGCUCUUCAGAAGCUUCGAGAAGGGUCAUUUGCAACUCGGACACCGUUUCUGCUUCUCUUCCAACUCACCCAUCUGGUUCACUAUCAACAACACUCAACCUCUUAACCUCGACGCAAUUCACGUUUCGGAAAUUGAUCCUGUCAAAGAGUUUGGUUUUCUUGUGAUGGGGCACGAGUUUGACCACUAUCCCAAGGGGAUGAUCCGGAAUGCAACGAAUUGGGAGUGGUUCAUUGAGGAACCUGGAAAAGAUAGUGAUGAGGAGGAGGAAUUUGAGAAGGGAAGGAGGAAAAUGAGGGGAAAACGGAAGUUUGGUAAGGUCAAUGAAGAUGAUGAAUGGACUGGUGAUAGUGAAGAUGAUAAGGACCUUGUUGCCAAUGUGCGGAAAGGUAAGCAGCCCAGGUACUCCACAAGGUCAAAAGGUGGUAAAGGAGGUAAUAAAGAUACCAAAGCUAGUAAAAAUUCUAAGCAAAAGAAAGCAGCUAGUGUUGGUGAAACUGUUGAAGAAGAAGAUGAUGACGACGAGACUCUGGGAGGCUUCAUUGUUACUGAUGAAGAUGCUGAUAAGGAGGAGGAAAAUGAUGAAGAUGAAGAAGAGGAAGAGUUUGAAGAUGAUGAUGAUGAAAUGGAGGAUUAAUGUCAAGAAUCUUUGUAGAAUGCUUCUACUGCCGAAAGGUGCAUGGAAGCACCCUUCUAAUUCGAAUGUAUGGUCUACCAAAAAACAUAAACAGGUUUACUUGCAACUUGUUAAACAGGUAUCUGGGUUUCCCAUCUGUCUCAGACAUCCCUGAAGGACAAUUGGAGCCUCCAAGAAACCAUCCAAUUGAGCAAAUUCAUGACCCCAAAAAUGCCCUGAAAGAGUUUACUUCAGUAAAAGUGUAUUCGUGCAGGUGCACCUUGACAAGCCGUUCUUGGCAUGUAGGCGUUCAGCCAAGCUUGAGAUUUUGAUAGCAGAAGUGGAAUGGGGUAUCAAAAGCAAAAAGAACGUGACUGAGUUCACUUCAUGUGCUACCAAAAGUGCAGAUCUGAACACUAUACUGAAAGAGUAGAAAAAGAUGAUAUGGGUCCUAAUAGAAGCACGUAAAGAGAAACUCUUUCGUGGGGGUUUUGUGGUUUUUUUUUUUAUCGUAUUUAAUAUAUUGAAAUUGCAGCGGUAUGUAUGGGUCAAGAUACAACUACUUGAAUACCAUUUUGAAUAUCAUAUUAUGUAUGGGGAGGCUUUGAAUUUUUGGCGCUCUCUCUCCUUCCACUGAAGAAAACACCAUUGAUGAAGAACUUGAAGAAUAUUCCAAUAUUCUUGGGAUGGAAAAAAGGCAUUCCCACUUGAAUUCUCCGAUCUUUAUUGUUAAUUGUAAUAUUGCGAUUUAGUUUU
RNA transcript from Cajanus cajan (pigeon pea), 1671 nucleotides. It is a transcript of the gene named SMAD/FHA domain-containing protein, with no coding region annotated. The record is from RefSeq and is a predicted model, not a curated record. Lineage: Eukaryota; Viridiplantae; Streptophyta; Magnoliopsida; Fabales; Fabaceae.